UGAACGCUGGCGGUAUGCUUAACACAUGCAAGUCGAACGGUAGCAGCAGAGCUUGCUCUGGCUGACGAGUGGCGGACGGGUGCGUAACGCGUGGGAAUUUACCUUGUAGUGGGGGAUAGCCCGGAGAAAUCCGGAUUAAUACCGCAUAAUCUCUACGGAGCAAAGUGGGGGAUCUUCGGACCUCACGCUAUUAGAUGAGCCCGCGUUGGAUUAGCUUGUUGGUGGGGUAAUGGCUCACCAAGGCGACGAUCCAUAGCUGGUUUGAGAGGAUGAUCAGCCACACUGGGACUGAGACACGGCCCAGACUCCUACGGGAGGCAGCAGUGGGGAAUAUUGGACAAUGGGCGCAAGCCUGAUCCAGCAAUACCGCGUGUGUGAAGAAGGCCUGAGGGUUGUAAAGCACUUUCAAUAGAGACGAAAAGCCUAGGGUUAAUAGCUCUGGGUCUUGACUUAACCUAUAGAAGAAGCACCGGCUAACUCC
RNAcentral lists this ribosomal RNA (481 nucleotides) under uncultured bacterium. Its description in RNAcentral is "bacterial SSU rRNA". It matches the Rfam family "Bacterial small subunit ribosomal RNA", at positions 30 to 504 of the family's 1533-position model. The record is from RNAcentral.